GUCGCAGCAGUUGCGGUGGUACCGGGUCGCUGGCGAGGGAAGUAGCCUUGCAGCAGACAAAAGUCUGUUGGGUUGCGCUGCAAUUAUAUGAAAAUAACUAUACAGCAACGGCGGGGAGCACGCCAGCUAAUACCGGCACUCGUGGCCAAAAGCGGUCCGCCGAAAACGAAAGAUACGUAGGAUUCGAUUGGAGAUAUUGACCCCUUCGCGGAAAACACGGCGGCUGAAUACGUGAAGUUCUGUAGUUUUUGUAUGACUACGUAGGAAAACAACGGUUUGUUUGGUACCAUGAACACAGAAAGACCAGGUCUACAACCAUAAAGACCUGCACUGUACGAGCUCCGAUUUCAACAGCGAAAGGAACAGAGAAUCAGAAGAGGAUGCACUAUUGCGAGGACCAAUACGACAUGAAUUAUCACCGAUUGUGCACUUACGCGAUAGAUCUUCCUUGAACUCAGACCGAGUUGUUUGGUUCGUCGCUUAGCAUGAACACCGAUCGGCAAGAUUGAAGUCGACCGUGCCCUGACUAACUGACAUUAAAGAGGUGGCAAACGAAAAGCGCGUGAGGACAAAAUGUAGAUCUCGAAGCACAGCGAGUUCAAUGGCAGACAGUUCAUCCGCCACUCGCCACAGGUAUGAGAUAGGCCGGUCUGGCAUAGCUAGAAAGCAAAAAGAAAGUCCACUAACGUCACAGGCUUGUUGGCGAGCUACAGAUAACAAGCCAAAAUAGUGACUAUAACAAUAUCAAUAUGGUACCGAUAGAGUACACUUGCCAACUGAUCCAUAAAUUCAUCUACCUUGCUACUAUUAAAAUAUAUUAGUUGAACAAAAUGUAUCGGUAUAAACAAGUAAUCCUUCAAUGGCGCACGAAAACGACAUCUGCCAAUCGUUGCCAACUUGCUCGAAUCCAAGUUGUCAAAUGCCACCUGUCCGACGACAUAAAUAUCUGUCAAUAUAUCACAGUGAGUGAAUUUUAAAUGUUGGUGAGGUAAGAGGCACUAGAAAACUUUGAAUAUGGGCUCCAGAACAUGAUCUCAUUAUGCAUCAUUUCGACAAAGCGAGAUUGUCACCGUAAUUAUUUAUACCAUGACGAACGAGCGGCUACAUAAGCGUGUGCGCAGUAAUAAACUAAUAGUAACUUCAAAGUUAUCUGUCGUUCAUUUCAUAACCCAGCAAUAGAAUCUCGGCCAUUUGGAACUUGAAGCUUGUCCUCUGUUGCCCCGGCAUAACACACACAAGCACUAAAUGCAUAAGGUAAGCAUACAAUACAUCCAUUAGAAACUAGCGCUAAAUAAGCAACAGCAUUGCCGGCAAUGGUAGCAAGAUAUGAACGUGAGAAAACAUAUUCACCUUUUGCUGUCUUCAAACAAAUUUCUAUAAUUUGUUCUAAUCAAAUAAUUAGUUAUCAUAUUUAUUAAAUAUUGACAUUUACAUUUAUUUAAUUAAUAUGUGAAGUAAAUUGAACAAAAAAGAAAAUACAGCCGCACUAAGGGCGGUAAAACAAGUCUGCUAAAUAGCGAAAAUUCGACGUGUUGCAUCUACCAUGAAUUUAUAAUAAACUCAAAAGCGUAACAAAUCCAAACAUCAUAUCUUCAUUUCAUCGGUAAAACAACAUAGGGCAUUCUCUCCAUUGUAGUUUGCGAAUUUUAUGGUGAUCUUUCGUUAAUGCGUUGGUCGAAACAAUGACAAAUUCGAUUUACGUACUGUAUACGCCGUAUACGUACUGUAUAUAUAUAUAAUAAUACCACUUGUGAAUCUGAUUUUUUACUAAUCAUUUAAUAAUUUUCAGUAAAAUAUACGUGAGCUAAAAUUUGGUGUUCCUGCCAGGGCUCGAACCUGGGACCUUCCGCGUGUUAGGCGGAUGUGAUAACCGCUACACCACGGUAACAGCCGAUAUUUCUCCCCGGUGCGUCAGAUCAACCUUCGGAAAUAAAACGAUACGUCCCCUUCUAACAAUCAAGCCUAAACGGUCCUGUUGCAAUUCGAGGGCCCAAAUACACAACGAACAUCUGCUUUUUUGUUUUUGAAAGUUUUUGAAAGUGACGCAGAACUAGCUACUUUGCCACACUUAACAUUAACACUUACGGAAA
This is a long non-coding RNA of Varroa destructor (honeybee mite), 2090 nucleotides long. Lineage: Eukaryota; Metazoa; Arthropoda; Arachnida; Mesostigmata; Varroidae. The record is from RefSeq and is a predicted model, not a curated record.